GGGCCCGUAGCUCAGUCCGGAUAGAGCGUCUGGCUUCGAACCAGCAGGUCGGGGGUUCGAGUCCCUCCGGGCCCGCCA
Molecule: transfer RNA, 78 nt
Filed under: Bryobacterales bacterium
Lineage: Bacteria; Pseudomonadati; Acidobacteriota; Terriglobia; Bryobacterales
Description: tRNA-Arg
Rfam family: tRNA
About the family: Transfer RNA (tRNA) molecules are approximately 80 nucleotides in length. Their secondary structure includes four short double-helical elements and three loops (D, anti-codon, and T loops).
Source: RNAcentral